This 521-nucleotide ribosomal RNA is filed under the name uncultured soil bacterium. RNAcentral describes it as "bacterial SSU rRNA". It matches the Rfam family "Bacterial small subunit ribosomal RNA", at positions 26 to 523 of the family's 1533-position model. The record is from RNAcentral.
AGAGCGAACGCUGGCGGCGUACCUAACACAUGCAAGUCGAACGGGGAUCACAGGGUUAGCAAUAACUCUGUGGUUCUAGUGGCGCACGGGUGAGUAACACGUGGGUAACCUGCCCUUGAGACUGGGAUACCCCCUCGAAAGGGGGGCUAAUACCGGAUACGUUCCUCGGAUCGAAAGGUCUGAGGAGGAAAGGUGGCGAAAGCUGCCGCUCUUGGAGGGGCUCGCGGCCUAUCAGCUAGUUGGCGGGGUAACGGCCCACCAAGGCUAUGACGGGUAGCUGGUCUGAGAGGACGACCAGCCACACGGGGACUGAGACACGGCCCCGACUCCUACGGGAGGCAGCAGUGGGGAAUUUCGCAAUGGGCGAAAGCCUGACGGAGUGACGCCGCGUGUGGGACGAAAGGCCUGGGUCGGUAAACCAACUGUCAGUGGGUAAAGAUAGGGUGUCGGCGCGAUAACGCCGGCAUUGACGUACCUGCAGAGGUAAGCCCGGCCUAACUCUGUGCCAGCAGCCGCGGAAU